GGAAGUUUUUCCUUGCCUCUGUCUCCUAGUGCUGCUCUUGGUGGGAACUGUUGGGCUUCUGUAAAUAACUUCAUAGAGUACGGUCCUGCAGCCGGGCGCUCAUUGGUUUGAUGCUUCCUCUCCAGCUGCAGUUUCGUUUUGUGAUCACGUGGAUUCAGAGUAACGGGUUCCUCGCGCCUCACGCCGCUCCUCCAGAAGCAGGUUAACCGGGAAGUUCCGCCUGAAGUUACUGGAUCAGCCAGGUACCCCGCUUGGUGGAACAGGCCACCGCAGGGCAGACAGAGCCUUUCUGAUCAGCUGAGCAGCAGCAGAGAGGAAAACCUGCAGACUGAACUUUGACUUAGAAGCAGAGAAACUCUACCUGACAAUGGCCUCAGAACCAAGAAGAAAAAGAUUUAGCAAAGACCUGCCUCCUGAUCUGUCCGAAUUAAUGAACAAACUCAUCCAACAUGCAACUUCAUUUAUCAGAGGAUUUGACAUCAGUAAACAGAGGAGGACAGAGAUUGUAGGAGAGUUUCAGAACAUCACUGCUGAAGUCAGAAAGAUGCAGAAGAUUACACAAUACAAGAUAUUCACAGGCAUCAUCUUUGUAAUUUCAAUGAUUUUGAAGUUGAGCUUAGUUGGAGGAGGAAGAGGAGCAGUAGCAGCAGUAGCAGCAGUAGGAGCAAUAUCAGUAGCAAUAGCAGUUUCUGCUGCAAACAAAAAAAAAACCACAGAGAACAAAAGUGCAGAGAAAGUAUUAAAUCUUGGGGGGGAAUUCCUGGAGAUUGUUGAACCGCUGAAGAACGAGCUGGAAGAAAUAAAGAGGACGUGUGAACGGUUGGAGGAAGAAUCAGCUGCAUUUCAGGCUGAGAACACUCUGUCACACAUGGAGGAGUUUCAGAGGAUCCUCAGACAAGUGGCUCAACUGAAUCAAGAGAGUCAGGAAGCUGUGGAUGUAGCUGUAUUAGUGAUGGGGGUGAUGGGUAAACUGGUGAUGCUCAUUCGGAAUGUCUUCACAAUCUUUGCUGAAGAGAACAGAAAGUUAACAGCCUCCAUCCUCCAGUCAGCUGAUCAGUGUCAGAAAGUCUCUGAUCAGUUUGAUCAGAUGAAGAAUGAACUGUCAGCGUUUCCAGGACAGUAAAGCUGCAGCGUGAAGAAAAACAUCCAGACUCAUGUCCAACAUCUCCAAAGCCUGAUCUGUGAGCUCAGCCUCUAAAUGUAAAGGCUGCUGAGCUGAACUCCCUCCUCGGUGUUUAAUGUGGAUCUGCUGACUUCCUGUCCUGCAGGAACACGAUCAGUAGAACUCACUUUACUGAGUGGAUAUAUCUGUUGAUGUGUCUGCUUGAUAUCUGCAGUGACGUCAGUAGCUGAGCUCACUUUUCCUUCAGCAGCUUCAUUUUAGACUUCUUAUUGUCUAACUCUGAUCUGAAGUCAGCUCACAUUUCUCUUUCACUCAUUUUCUUUCAUUUGCUCUCUUUGUUCUCAUUCAUUCUCAUACAAUCACUUUGUUUAACAGGUCGAGGAGAUUUCCUCUUUUUAUUGACAUAUUACAGGCUUUUCGUUCUGUUUGUGCCGUUAACUGAGAAGAUUUGAAUAAUUUUUUUGUAAAUGUUUGUUUUUAUUUGAGUUUUGAGCUGUGAUUUGUCUGUUUAAUUAUUUUUUUCAAGUACAUUUUUUUAUUAUGAUUUGUUGACUUUCAAUGUGUAAAUAAAUUGAACAUAUAUUCAAUAUAAAUCAUCAAUACAUCAUCAGGUAUUCUUUAGUAGUCAGAAUAAAAUGUAAACUCUCAUUAAUCACAAUAAAUCUUUAAUACCAUC
This is an RNA transcript of Micropterus salmoides (largemouth bass), 1799 nucleotides long. RefSeq lists it as uncharacterized. Lineage: Eukaryota; Metazoa; Chordata; Actinopteri; Centrarchiformes; Centrarchidae. The transcript is spliced from 3 exons. The record is from RefSeq and is a predicted model, not a curated record.